GACGAACGCUGGCGGCGUGCCUAAUACAUGCAAGUCGAGCGAAUUUACGAGAGCUUGCUCUCGUAAAUUAGCGGCGGACGGGUGAGUAACACGUGGGCAACCUGCCUAUAAGACUGGGAUAACUUCGGGAAACCGGAGCUAAUACCGGAUAAUUCACAUCUACUCAUGUAGAUGUGCUGAAAGACGGUUUACGCUGUCACUUAUAGAUGGGCCCGCGGCGCAUUAGCUAGUUGGUGAGGUAACGGCUCACCAAGGCCACGAUGCGUAGCCGACCUGAGAGGGUGAUCGGCCACACUGGGACUGAGACACGGCCCAGACUCCUACGGGAGGCAGCAGUAGGGAAUCUUCCGCAAUGGACGAAAGUCUGACGGAGCAACGCCGCGUGAGUGAUGAAGGUUUUCGGAUCGUAAAACUCUGUUGUUAGGGAAGAACAAGUACCGGAGUAACUGCCGGUACCUUGACGGUACCUAACCAGAAAGCCACGGCUAACUACGUGCCAGCAGCCGCCGUAACAC
RNAcentral lists this ribosomal RNA (515 nucleotides) under uncultured bacterium. Its description in RNAcentral is "bacterial SSU rRNA". It matches the Rfam family "Bacterial small subunit ribosomal RNA", at positions 28 to 526 of the family's 1533-position model. The record is from RNAcentral.